Amphiprion ocellaris (clown anemonefish) is the source of this 68-nucleotide small nucleolar RNA. Ensembl annotates it as Small nucleolar RNA SNORD37. Its record names the gene SNORD37. The record is from Ensembl. NCBI's taxonomy places the organism in Eukaryota, Metazoa, Chordata, Actinopteri, Pomacentridae.
GCAAGUGAUGAUUUGAAAAUUCUUCACUUUGACCUGACUAAUCAGUGAUGAUAACCUUCAGCCUGAGC